AUGCGCUUAAACUGCUCAAUGGCAAGAAGCGUGUGGGCUUUAGCUGACGAAGAAAUGGUGGAGUUAAUGUGCCAGAAUAAAUCUGAAAACGCUAAGGAAUGGAUCUUCCAAAUGAAUAGCAAGUUAUCGCAUGAUCAACUAGUGCAUAUGGUGAUCACGCUGUGGGCUAUAUGGGGAGUGAGAAGGAAAACAGUUUAUGAGGAUAUCUUUCAAAGCCCAAUGUCAACACACUUAUAUAUUCAGUCCUACUGGAGUGAUCUCCAAGUCUUGAAAAAACCGCACAUUCAGCACUCACAUCCCAGGCCAGUGAGGCCAUCCCAUUGGAUCCAACCGCCGGAGCACUUGAUGAAGGUGAAUGUAGAUGCUGCGGUUUCGGAACGACGAGGUGUAGGCUCAGUGGCAGCAAUUUGCAGAAACAGAGAUGGACUCUAUCUAGGUGCUUCAUCAGUGGUAUUCAGAGGGAUAACUGAUCCGACAACUUUGGAAGCUCUAGCGGUAAGGGAGGCCCUGGCAUUGGCAGAGGAUCUAAACAUACAAGCUAUACAUGUGGCUUCCGAUUGCUCAGUGGUGAUAGAUGAUCUCAAGAAAAGAAGCGGGGCUGGUUAUGGGGCUAUUAUACAUGAAAUAUUAAAGUACUCUACUAGUUUUACUUCGUGUAAUUUUGUUCAUGAAUUUAGGAGCUCGAACGUCGAAACUCACAAUCUAGCAAAGCAUGCAUUAAAACUGGGGCUUGGUCGCCAUGUUUGGUUGGGCCACCCUGGGAUCUUCAUUUCGUCCAUGUAA
RNAcentral lists this ribosomal RNA (783 nucleotides) under Triticum aestivum (bread wheat). RNAcentral's name for it is "partial small subunit ribosomal RNA". The record is from RNAcentral. Lineage: Eukaryota; Viridiplantae; Streptophyta; Magnoliopsida; Poales; Poaceae.